RNAcentral lists this long non-coding RNA (419 nucleotides) under Mytilus galloprovincialis (Mediterranean mussel). The record is from RNAcentral. Lineage: Eukaryota; Metazoa; Mollusca; Bivalvia; Mytilida; Mytilidae.
AAAAAUAUGUGUACAACAUUAAAAUCAUUAAAAACAUACAAAACAGAAUGGAUUUUCUUAACUUAAACAUAAGUGAAAAACGUUUAUAACCAAAUUUUACCAAUAUACAUGCAAGGUAUAGUACAUGUACAAGUAUUUACUCACCUGUGUUAAACUAUAAAUGCAAUUAGGAGCAAAAAUAAAAUGGCCGCAAAUGAAAAAUUGAAAUCAACGCAAAUGAAAGAAUGACAAUUUUAAAAAUCGGCGCAAAUGCCAUAACCUUGUGGCGCAAAUGAAAGAUAGGAUUUAAAAAAAAAUGGCGCAAAUGCAAUGCGCCCAUUCAUAAUAAAGCUUUGGAAAUGUGUAAUUAUAAUACUUGAAAAAUAAAGAAUUGUUAAAUUGUAACCAUGCAAAGGAUAUAUUUCUUGGCACCAUGAAGC